Molecule: ribosomal RNA, 441 nt
Filed under: uncultured bacterium
Lineage: Bacteria
Description: bacterial SSU rRNA
Rfam family: Bacterial small subunit ribosomal RNA
Source: RNAcentral
AACGCGAAGAACCUUACCAGCCUUUGACAUGCCUCGGACGGUUACCAGAGAUGGUUUCUUCUCUUCGGAGCCGAGGACACAGGUGCUGCAUGGCUGUCGUCAGCUCGUGUCGUGAGAUGUUGGGUUAAGUCCCGCAACGAGCGCAACCCACGCCCUUAGUUGCCAUCAUUAAGUUGGGCACUCUAGGGGGACUGCCGGUGAUAAGCCGAGAGGAAGGUGUGGAUGACGUCAAGUCCUCAUGGCCCUUACGGGCUGGGCUACACACGUGCUACAAUGGCGGUGACAAUGGGACGCGAAAGGGUGACCUUUAGCAAAUCUCAAAAAGCCGUCUCAGUUCGGAUUGUACUCUGCAACUCGAGUACAUGAAGGUGGAAUCGCUAGUAAUCGUAGAUCAGAACGCUACGGUGAAUACGUUCCCGGGCCUUGUACACACCGUAGUAC